UAAAGCGAUUCAGCGGGUUACGAUUGACGGAGCGAAGCGACGUCAAAGCGUAUACAAAGUCGAGUCGGUUUAAGGAUACGUUCGUUGGGUAGGGGAGCGUUCUGUAAGCCUGUGAAGGUGGCCUGUGAGGGUUGCUGGAGGUAUCAGAAGUGCGAAUGCUGACAUAAGUAACGAUAAAGCGGGUGAAAAGCCCGCUCGCCGGAAGACCAAGGGUUCCUGUCCAACGUUAAUCGGGGCAGGGUGAGUCGACCCCUAAGGCGAGGCCGAAAGGCGUAGUCGAUGGGAAACGGGUUAAUAUUCCCGUACUUGGUGUUACUGCGAAGGGGGGACGGAGAAGGCUAUGUUGGCCGGGCGACGGUUGUCCCGGUUUAAGCGUGUAGGUGUGUGUUCCAGGUAAAUCCGGUUCACUUUAACACUGAGGCGUGAUGACGAGGCACUACGGUGCUGAAGCAACAAAUGCCCUGCUUCCAGGAAAAGCCUCUAAGCAUCAGGUAACAUCAAAUCGUACCCCAAACCGACACAGGUGGUCAGGUAGAGAAUACCAAGGCGCUUGAGAGAACUCGGGUGAAGGAACUAGGCAAAAUGGUGCCGUAACUUCGGGAGAAGGCACGCUGACACGUAGGUGAAGUGAUUUACUCAUGGAGCUGAAGUCAGUCGAAGAUACCAGCUGGCUGCAACUGUUUAUUAAAAACACAGCACUGUGCAAACACGAAAGUGGACGUAUACGGUGUGACGCCUGCCCGGUGCCGGAAGGUUAAUUGAUGGGGUCAGCGCAAGCGAAGCUCCUGAUCGAAGCCCCGGUAAACGGCGGCCGUAACUAUAACGGUCCUAAGGUAGCGAAAUUCCUUGUCGGGUAAGUUCCGACCUGCACGAAUGGCGUAAUGAUGGCCAGGCUGUCUCCACCCGAGACUCAGUGAAAUUGAACUCGCUGUGAAGAUGCAGUGUACCCGCGGCAAGACGGAAAGACCCCGUGAACCUUUACUAUAGCUUGACACUGAACAUUGAGCCUUGAUGUGUAG
Molecule: ribosomal RNA, 1019 nt
Filed under: Salmonella enterica
Lineage: Bacteria; Pseudomonadati; Pseudomonadota; Gammaproteobacteria; Enterobacterales; Enterobacteriaceae
Also listed under: 1 other name
Description: partial 23S ribosomal RNA
Rfam family: Bacterial large subunit ribosomal RNA
Source: RNAcentral